GACGAACGCUGGCGGCGUGCUUAACACAUGCAAGUCGAGCGGAAAGGCCCUUCGGGGUACUCGAGCGGCGAACGGGUGAGUAACACGUGAGUAACCUGCCCCAGACUUUGGGAUAACCCUCGGAAACGGGGGCUAAUACCGGAUACGACACAGCUUCGCAUGGGGUCUGUGUGGAAAGUUUUUCGGUUUGGGAUGGGCUCGCGGCCUAUCAGCUUGUUGGUGGGGUGGUGGCCUACCAAGGCGACGACGGGUAGCCGGCCUGAGAGGGCGACCGGCCACACUGGGACUGAGACACGGCCCAGACUCCUACGGGAGGCAGCAGUGGGGAAUAUUGCACAAUGGGCGGAAGCCUGAUGCAGCGACGCCGCGUGAGGGAUGACGGCCUUCGGGUUGUAAACCGCUUUCAGCAGGGACGAAGCGUAAGUGACGGUACCUGCAGAAGAAGCGCCGGCCAACUACGUG
RNAcentral lists this ribosomal RNA (462 nucleotides) under uncultured bacterium. RNAcentral's name for it is "partial 16S ribosomal RNA". It matches the Rfam family "Bacterial small subunit ribosomal RNA", at positions 28 to 507 of the family's 1533-position model. The record is from RNAcentral.